Molecule: ribosomal RNA, 667 nt
Filed under: uncultured ciliate
Lineage: Eukaryota; Ciliophora
Description: SSU rRNA
Rfam family: Eukaryotic small subunit ribosomal RNA
Source: RNAcentral
UGGUAGUGUAUUGGACUACCAUGGCAGUCACGGGUAACGGAGAAUUAGGGUUCGAUUCCGGAGAGGGAGCCUGAGAAACGGCUACCACAUCUAAGGAAGGCAGCAGGCGCGUAAAUUACCCAAUCCCGAUUCGGGGAGGUAGUGACAAGAAAUAGCAACUCGUGCGGGUUUCCGUUACGGGAUUGCAAUGAGACAAGUCCAAAUCCGUAAACGAUUAACAAUUGGAGGGCGAGUCUGGUGCCAGCAGCCGCGGUAAUUCCAGCUCCAAUAGCGUAUACUUAAGUUGUUGCAGUUAAAAAGCUCGUAGUUGAAAUUCGAGUCAGUUACUAGUUGGCUUUUCGUCAGUUAGUUAAUUGAUUCUCCGUCUACAAUCCCUUUUGCGCUUUAGGGUUGCAGCUGGGCGAGUAGACAAUUUACCUUGAAAAAAUUAGAGUGUUCCAGGCAGGUCUUCGCCGGAAUACAUUAGCAUGGAAUAAUGGAAUAGGACUUGGGUCUUUUGUUGGUUUUAGGACUUGAGUAAUGAUUAAUAGGGACAGAUGGGGGCAUUAGUAUUUAAUUGUCAGAGGUGAAAUUCUUGGAUUUAUUAAAGACUAACUUAUGCGAAAGCAUUUGCCAAGGAUGUUUUCAUUAAUCAAGAACGAAAGUUAGGGGAUCAAAGACAAUCAGA